This 484-nucleotide ribosomal RNA is filed under the name uncultured bacterium. RNAcentral's name for it is "partial 16S ribosomal RNA". It matches the Rfam family "Bacterial small subunit ribosomal RNA", at positions 30 to 507 of the family's 1533-position model. The record is from RNAcentral.
AUUGAACGCUGGCGGCAGGCCUAACACAUGCAAGUCGAGCGGAUGAAGGGAGCUUGCUCCUGGAUUCAGCGGCGGACGGGUGAGUAAUGCCUAGGAAUCUGCCUGGUAGCGGGGGAUAACGUCCGGAAACGGGCGCUAAUACCGCAUACGUCCUGAGGGAGAAAGUGGGGGAUCUUCGGACCUCACGCUAUCAGAUGAGCCUAGGUCGGAUUAGCUAGUUGGUGGGGUAAAGGCCUACCAAGGCGACGAUCCGUAACUGGUCUGAGAGGAUGAUCAGUCACACUGGAACUGAGACACGGCCCAGACUCCUACGGGAGGCAGCAGUGGGGAAUAUUGGACAAUGGGCGAAAGCCUGAUCCAGCCAUGCCGCGUGUGUGAAGAAGGUCUUCGGAUUGUAAAGCACUUUAAGUUGGGAGGAAGGGCAGUAAGUUAAUACCUUGCUGUUUUGACGUUACCAACAGAAUAAGCACCGGCUAACUUCGUG